RNAcentral lists this ribosomal RNA (468 nucleotides) under uncultured bacterium. RNAcentral's name for it is "partial 16S ribosomal RNA". It matches the Rfam family "Bacterial small subunit ribosomal RNA", at positions 28 to 507 of the family's 1533-position model. The record is from RNAcentral.
GACGAACGCUGGCGGCGUGCUUAACACAUGCAAGUCGAACGGAAAGGCCCUGCUUUUGUGGGGUGCUCGAGUGGCGAACGGGUGAGUAACACGUGAGUAACCUGCCCUUGACUUUGGGAUAACUUCAGGAAACUGGGGCUAAUACCGGAUAGGAGCUCCUGCUGCAUGGUGGGGGUUGGAAAGUUUCGGCGGUUGGGGAUGGACUCGCGGCUUAUCAGCUUGUUGGUGGGGUAGUGGCUUACCAAGGCUGUGACGGGUAGCCGGCCUGAGAGGGUGACCGGGCACCUUGCGCCUGAGGUACGGACCAGACUCCUACGGGAGGCAGCAGUGGGGAAUCUUGCACAAUGGGCGGAAGCGUGAUGAAGCAACGCCGCGUGCGGGAUGACGGCCUUCGGGUUGUAAACCGCUUUCGCCUGUGACGAAGCGUGAGUGACGGUAAUGGGUAAAGAAGCACCGGCUAACUACGUG